Molecule: unclassified non-coding RNA, 183 nt
Filed under: uncultured fungus
Lineage: Eukaryota; Fungi
Description: sequence contains ITS1, 5.8S rRNA gene
Source: RNAcentral
CUGAUCGGAGAUGUUGCUGGCGGCUAUUUGACGUAUGUGCACUCUCAUAAACCCACACACCUGUGAACCAUUGUAGUCUUGCAUCAAAGGGAGCCUUAGGUUCUCUGCUUGACUAUGUUUUUAUACACUCUUUAUUAAUUUAUAGAAUGUAUCAUGACCUUAACAAAGUCAUAUAAACUAAUA